UACGAAGGGGGCGAGCGUUGUUCGGAUUUACUGGGCGUAAAGGGCGCGCAGGCGGCGACACAUGUCAGGCGUGAAAGCCCCGGGCUUAACCUGGGAGGUGCGUUUGAAACGGUGUUGCUAGAGUUCGGGAGAGGAGAGUGGAAUUCCCAGUGUAGAGGUGAAAUUCGUAGAUAUUGGGAAGAACACCGGUGGCGAAGGCGGCUCUCUGGACCGAGACUGACGCUGAGGCGCGAAAGCGUGGGGAGCAAACAGG
This 253-nucleotide ribosomal RNA is filed under the name uncultured bacterium. RNAcentral describes it as "partial 16S ribosomal RNA". It matches the Rfam family "Bacterial small subunit ribosomal RNA", at positions 524 to 776 of the family's 1533-position model. The record is from RNAcentral.